This 459-nucleotide ribosomal RNA is filed under the name uncultured bacterium. Its description in RNAcentral is "partial 16S ribosomal RNA". It matches the Rfam family "Bacterial small subunit ribosomal RNA", at positions 338 to 795 of the family's 1533-position model. The record is from RNAcentral.
CCUACGGGUGGCAGCAGUGAGGAAUAUUGGUCAAUGGGCGGAAGCCUGAACCAGCCAAGUAGCGUGCAGGAUGACGGCCCUACGGGUUGUCAACUGCUUUUAUACGGGAAUAACGCGCCCGACGUGUAGGGCUUUGUAUGUACCUUAUGAAUAAGCAUCGGCUAAUUCCGUGCCAGCAGCCGCGGUAAUACGGAGGGUGCGAGCGUUAUCCGGAUUUAUUGGGUUUAAAGGGUGCGUAGGCGGCUUGCUAAGUCAGCGGGAAAAGUCCGGGGCCAAACCGGGCCGUGCCGUUGAAACUGGCGUGCUGGAGUACGCGGAAAGCACGCGGAAUUUGUGGUGUAGCGGUGAAAUGCUUAGAUAUCACGAAGAACCCCGAUUGCGAAGGCAGCGUACCGGAGCAAAACUGACGCUGAGGCUCGAAAGCGUGGGUAUCGAACAGGAUUAGAUACCCGGGUAGUC